Molecule: ribosomal RNA, 800 nt
Filed under: uncultured bacterium
Lineage: Bacteria
Description: bacterial SSU rRNA
Rfam family: Bacterial small subunit ribosomal RNA
Source: RNAcentral
AGAGUUUGAUCCUGGCUCAGGACGAACGCUGGCGGCGUGCCUAAUACAUGCAAGUAGAACGCUGACUACUUUAGCUUGCUAGAGUAGAAGGAGUUGCGAACGGGUGAGUAACGCGUAGGUAACCUGCCUACUAGCGGGGGAUAACUAUUGGAAACGAUAGCUAAUACCGCAUAACAGUGUUUAACACAUGUUAGAUGCUUGAAAGAUGCAAAUGCAUCACUAGUAGAUGGACCUGCGUUGUAUUAGCUAGUUGGUGGGGUAACGGCCUACCAAGGCGACGAUACAUAGCCGACCUGAGAGGGUGAUCGGCCACACUGGGACUGAGACACGGCCCAGACUCCUACGGGAGGCAGCAGUAGGGAAUCUUCGGCAAUGGGGGCAACCCUGACCGAGCAACGCCGCGUGAGUGAAGAAGGUUUUCGGAUCGUAAAGCUCUGUUGUAAGAGAAGAACGUGUGUGAGAGUGGAAAGUUCACACAGUGACGGUAACUUACCAGAAAGGGACGGCUAACUACGUGCCAGCAGCCGCGGUAAUACGUAGGUCCCGAGCGUUGUCCGGAUUUAUUGGGCGUAAAGCGAGCGCAGGCGGUUUAAUAAGUCUGAAGUUAAAGGCAGUGGCUUAACCAUUGUUCGCUUUGGAAACUGUUAAACUUGAGUGCAGAAGGGGAGAGUGGAAUUCCAUGUGUAGCGGUGAAAUGCGUAGAUAUAUGGAGGAACACCGGUGGCGAAAGCGGCUCUCUGGUCUGUAACUGACGCUGAGGCUCGAAAGCGUGGGGAGCAAACAGGAUUAGAUACUCCUGG